RNAcentral lists this ribosomal RNA (253 nucleotides) under uncultured bacterium. RNAcentral describes it as "partial 16S ribosomal RNA". It matches the Rfam family "Bacterial small subunit ribosomal RNA", at positions 524 to 776 of the family's 1533-position model. The record is from RNAcentral.
UACGGAGGGAGCUAGCGUUGUUCGGAAUUACUGGGCGUAAAGCGCACGUAGGCGGCUUUGUAAGUUAGAGGUGAAAGCCCGGGGCUCAACCCCGGAAUUGCCUUUAAGACUGCAUCGCUUGAAUCCGGGAGAGGUGAGUGGAAUUCUGAGUGUAGAGGUGAAAUUCGUAGAUAUUCGGAAGAACACCAGUGGCGAAGGCGACUUACUGGACACAUAUUGACGCUGAGGUGCGAAAGCGUGGGGAGCAAACAGG